UACGGGGGGGGCAAGCGUUGUUCGGAAUUAUUGGGCGUAAAGGGCGCGUAGGCGGCUUGGCAAGUGGAUGGUGAAAUCCCUCGGCUUAACCGAGGAACUGCCGUCCAAACUGCUUCGCUUGAGACCGGGAGAGGUGAGUGGAAUUCCCAGUGUAGCGGUGAAAUGCGUAGAUAUUGGGAGGAACACCAGUGGCGAAGGCGGCUCACUGGACCGGUACUGACGCUGAUGCGCGAAAGCGUGGGGAGCAAACGGG
This 253-nucleotide ribosomal RNA is filed under the name uncultured bacterium. RNAcentral's name for it is "partial 16S ribosomal RNA". It matches the Rfam family "Bacterial small subunit ribosomal RNA", at positions 524 to 776 of the family's 1533-position model. The record is from RNAcentral.